GAGGAAUAUUGGUCAAUGGACGAGAGUCUGAACCAGCCAUCCCGCGUGCAGGAUGACGGCCCUAUGGGUUGUAAACUGCUUUUCUACGCCAAGAAACCUACCAACGUGUUGGUAGCUGACGGUAGCGUAGGAA
RNAcentral lists this ribosomal RNA (133 nucleotides) under uncultured bacterium. RNAcentral's name for it is "partial 16S ribosomal RNA". It matches the Rfam family "Bacterial small subunit ribosomal RNA", at positions 356 to 486 of the family's 1533-position model. The record is from RNAcentral.